UACGAGUUGUGCAAACGUUAUUCGGAAUCACUGGGCUUAAAGGGUGCGUAGGCGGGCAGGCAGGUCAGAUGUGAAAUCCCACGGCUCAACCGUGGAAUUGCGUUUGAAACCGCAUGUCUUGAGGGGGUCAGAGGAGAGCGGAACUGAUGGUGGAGCGGUGAAAUGCGUUGAUAUCAUCAGGAACACCGGUGGCGAAAGCGGCUCUCUGGGACCUUUCUGACGCUGAGGCACGAAAGCCAGGGGAGCGAACGGG
This 253-nucleotide ribosomal RNA is filed under the name uncultured bacterium. Its description in RNAcentral is "partial 16S ribosomal RNA". It matches the Rfam family "Bacterial small subunit ribosomal RNA", at positions 524 to 776 of the family's 1533-position model. The record is from RNAcentral.